UUAAUUGAAACCAAAAAGAGGUAUUCCACUGUUAAUGGAUAAACUGGAAAAAUUCCCAAUUAAA
This 64-nucleotide transfer RNA is filed under the name Ips acuminatus. RNAcentral describes it as "tRNA-Asn". Lineage: Eukaryota; Metazoa; Arthropoda; Insecta; Coleoptera; Curculionidae. The record is from RNAcentral.